UCUUUUCAUGGCCUGUUUAUAAAUUAAUCUGCUCUUCAUCUACAUCCCUGAUUGCCAUUUUCUAUUUUAAUCAUUUACUACAGUGUCAUACCUUCCCAAUAGACCUAUAUAUUUUUCCUCCUUAAAAACAUUAAAUUCUACCUUUGUCGAAAUUUAACCUCCAUAUCCUACUGUGCAUGUCUAUAUAUUUUUUUCGAGUUGUUUUAUUCUUAUUAUCAUUAUCAUAUAUUGUUAUUAUUAUCAGAACAUAAGAACGUAAGGAGUCUGCAAGAGGCCGGUGGGUCUGUACAAGGCAGCUCCUGUGAACCUAACCCCACCUUCCCUCACUAUCCAUAAAGUUAUCUAAUCUCUUUUUGAAUGUGACUAUCGUAUCGGCACUCACACCAUGACUGCCAAGCCUGUUCCUCUCAUCCACCAUUCUGCUCGUAAACCAAUUUUUGCAUAUGUCCUUGUUGAAUCUGAAUUUAUCCAGCUUAGACCCAUUACUACGUGUCCUGCCCAGUUCUCUUAUCCUCAGAACCUUAUUAAUAGCCCCCUUAUUAAAGCCAUUCAUCCAUUUAUAAACUUCCAUCAAGUCUCCUCGCACCCUUCGCCUAUAGAGAGAAAGCAAGUUCAAUUCUUUAAGUCUUACUGGUGGUGAUGGUGAGGCAGACGUGACGUAUUGGUGAUGGUGAUGCAGGUGUUAAGUAUUGGUGGUGGUGGAGGUGGUGAUGGUGUUAAUAAUGGUGAUGGUGAGGCAGACGUGACGAAUUAGUGAUGGUGAUGCAGGUGUUAAGUAUUGGUGGUGGUGGUGGUGAUGGUGUUAAUAAUGGUGAUGGUGAGGCAGACGUGACGUAUUAGUGAUGGUGAUGAUGGUGUUAAUAAUGGUGAUGGUGAGGCAGACGUGACGUAUUAGUGAUGGUGAUGAUGGUGUUAGUAAUGGUGAUGGUGAGGCAGACGUGACGUAUUAGUGAUGGUGAUGAUGGUGUUAGUAAUGGUGAUGGUGAUGCAGACGUGACGUAUUAGUGAUGGUGAUGAUGGUGUUAGUAAUGGUGAUGGUGAGGCAGACGUGACGUAUUAGUGAUGGUGAUGAUGGUGUUAAUAAUGGUGAUGGUGAGGCAGACGUGAAUCAAACAAAUACGCAGCAAAUACCCGAAUGUCCUUCCAUCCCCACGUGUCUAAGCUGGGCAUACGGUACAAACCUGAAACUUACCUAAUUAACCUAUGCCCUUACCUGCCCAUGCCCUUCCCCCCCUCCCCUCCUCCUCUUCCUUGCUUUCUAACUCCAUCCCUUCCUCCUACUCCUCCUCCUUCUCCUUCUCAUCCUGUUCCUCCUACUCAUCCUAAUCCUGUUUUCCUUCUGGUGGUGCUGGUGGUGUUAGUCCUCCUCCUCCUCCUCCUCCUCCUCCUCCUCCUCCAGUUACCCGU
Eriocheir sinensis (Chinese mitten crab) is the source of this 1407-nucleotide long non-coding RNA. RefSeq lists it as uncharacterized. The record is from RefSeq and is a predicted model, not a curated record. NCBI's taxonomy places the organism in Eukaryota, Metazoa, Arthropoda, Malacostraca, Decapoda, Varunidae. The transcript has 3 exons.